This 253-nucleotide ribosomal RNA is filed under the name uncultured bacterium. RNAcentral describes it as "partial 16S ribosomal RNA". It matches the Rfam family "Bacterial small subunit ribosomal RNA", at positions 524 to 776 of the family's 1533-position model. The record is from RNAcentral.
UACGUAGGCAGCGAGCGUUGUUCGGAUUUACUGGGCGUAAAGCGUGCGUAGGCGGUGUCUUAAGUUUGUUGUGAAAUCUCCCGGCUUAACCGGGAGGGUGCGGCGAAUACUGAGAUGCUGGAGUGCCGGAGAGGUAAGCGGAAUUCCUGGUGUAGCGGUGAAAUGCGUAGAUAUCAGGAGGAACACCUGCGGUGUAGACGGCUUACUGGACGGUAACUGACGUUGAGGCACGAAAGCGUGGGUAGCAAACAGG